GGGGGGGGGGGGGCUACCAUGUCUGUAAUGCACUUGGGGUCAAAUAGUAUUACACAACAGUUAGUUCCGACCAAGUAAUUUGAUUGGACGAGAGGCAUUCCAUGAGCGCUGAUGUUUCACAGCCGUGCUGAUAUUCAGUAUAACAUCACGACCUGGCGUGUGAUAUUGCUUAAAUAAUUAGUUUGAGACACUGUGGUUGGUUGGUAAACAGCCAGCAGCCCAAGGACUCUUGAUACCAAACUUCCUCUUUCAGUCCUUCUUGUAACUGAGCUGUGGAACUGUGUGAUUCUUCGUAUCUGCUCAGUCUUAAAGUAGCAUCAUUCGGCCUUAUCAGGACAUAUUUGGCAUCACUAUUACCUAUUUCAUCUCUACAUAAAAAGUACCCUAGCAGGACACGUCUGAGCAGUGAAGACUUGUCAAGGUUGCCGGGAGGAAGUCGGUCGUCCUGAUUUUUCUCCUCUCAUGUUUAAAAUCAGUAUCGGCCUACAUUCCAAACAGAUCAUAACAAGACCGGAGGGAACAGUGGCAGACAAACCAAAACAAGGCAGAGCUGCCUUUAAUCCAGUGCUGAGGCGUCUGAAUGAGACGGCCUAUCAUCGGGUUGUUUUGAAAGACGUCAUAAGGCUUUGUUGUGCGCUGUGUUAGAGGGGAAUGCCGGGAGUUUGUUGGGUGUUUGAUUGUGCUGAUUCGUCCAUGGCCGAAUAUGUUUUGUCUUUAGAGGCAAAAAGUUUACCACAGUCUCUGGUUCUGUCUUGGAGUCAGCACAAUAUACAACACUGUGGAAACACAGUAGGUUUUUCUUUCUUUAAAAGGUAACAAGUUAUUUAAAGCCCAAGAGGCAGUCAGCUGCAGGAUGAUGAUGGCCAAUGUACUGUAUAAUUCGAGUGUGGCAGCAUAGUCUAUGCAUUGCACUUAAUGUGCCUUGAACGCACCUUGAUGGCCUGAUAGCCUAUCCGUGAGCAGGGGCCAGUAUUUAAGACAGCCCUCUCCCCUGCUCUUUCGCUUCCCAAUUCACUUCCGGUAGCAGGCCGGCCGGCUUCCCUUUUACCACGGCGUGCGUCCCGCUGUGUGUACUGCUCUGUCGCUCCUGUAUGCUCCUGUUUGGCAUGGUAAGUGUUCUCUCUCUCUGCAUCAUAGUAUUUGCAUUCCGACAUCUAAUGCUAGUGUGGUCGUAGGAAAUGCUGAUGUCCAGAUUUGUCCCUCUCGUCCGCCCACCUGUAUGAGUGUGUGUGCGCGCAUCCACUUCUGCUAAAGUUGUCAGAGGCCGGUGGUGGUGGUGGCGUCGGUGACUGGUGGUGGUGUCCCCCUCAUUUGAUGUGCUGUGCUCCCCGGUGGUGGUUCCUUCAAUGUGUGGGUGAUUUAUUUCUAUUUAUUUUGGGUGAACCGCUCCUGUUCACUAGUACCUGCCCACCUGGUAAGCCUCUGCUCCUGACUAGUUGCCCUUCUUUUGGUGUGAAUGAUUUUGAUUGUUAAUUAUUUUAACCAAUUGUAAUAAAAUAUAUUUUUAUACCUCGAA
This is a long non-coding RNA of Seriola aureovittata, 1516 nucleotides long. RefSeq lists it as uncharacterized. The record is from RefSeq and is a predicted model, not a curated record. The transcript has 2 exons. Lineage: Eukaryota; Metazoa; Chordata; Actinopteri; Carangiformes; Carangidae.